RNAcentral lists this ribosomal RNA (405 nucleotides) under uncultured bacterium. RNAcentral describes it as "bacterial SSU rRNA". It matches the Rfam family "Bacterial small subunit ribosomal RNA", at positions 11 to 420 of the family's 1533-position model. The record is from RNAcentral.
GUUUGAUCCUGGCUCAGAUUGAACGCUGGCGGCAUGCUUUACACAUGCAAGUCGAACGGGCUUGGGGGCUUGCUCCCAAGUUAGUGGCGAACGGGUGAGUAAUACAUCGGAACGUACCGUGUAGUGGGGGAUAACGUAGCGAAAGUUACGCUAAUACCGCAUACGAUCUACGGAUGAAAGCAGGGGACCUUCGGGCCUUGUGCUAUACGAGCGGCCGAUGUCUGAUUAGCUAGUUGGUGAGGUAAAGGCUCACCAAGGCGACGAUCAGUAGCGGGUCUGAGAGGAUGAUCCGCCACACUGGGACUGAGACACGGCCCAGACUCCUACGGGAGGCAGCAGUGGGGAAUUUUGGACAAUGGGCGAAAGCCUGAUCCAGCCAUGCCGCGUGUCUGAAGAAGGCCUCGG